AUAUAUAUAUAUAUUAGUGUAGAACUAUUAUGCUAUCGGAAGCAUAAAGCAUUUGAUACUUCGAUAUUUCGAUCCUUGGAUUAAGAAUUAUACGAUUGGGAUGAUUGCGAUCCCCCCAUGGUUUAGUAGUACCCCUAGAAUUGAGUAGUGCCCACAGGGUAAUAGUAUUAAUCCAAAGGUUAAAAAUAAUUAAAGGAGCUGAUCUAACGGCCAAAAAAUCGGAAGCAUCAGAUUCUCUAUACUUCCGAUAGCAUAGUAGCUCUACUCUAUAUUAUAUGUUAAAGAUGGUAUUUUAUUUUUAAUAUAAAUAUAUUUAUUAUAUAAUAUUUUAUUUAUAAAUAUUUAAUAAUUUAUUUUAUAGUAUUAUAUAUUAUAUUAUAUAUUUAAUUAUUGUAUAAUAUAUUUUAAAUAUGUUUUAUUUAUAAAUAUAAACUAUAAUACUAAUAUAUAUGUAAUAUGAUAAUAAUUAUAUUAAAAUAUAUAAAAUAAAAAAAUAUUUAAUAAUUUUUAUUUAUAAUUUUUUUUUUCUUUCAAUCAAACAAUCGUAAUAAAAAAUUAUUUCUCUUUUCCUACAAACCAAACAUCAAACAACGUAAAGCUAUUUUUCCACCAAAUUUUUUUUUUCCUCAGUUUUACGUGGAACUAAACACACCCUUAGCUCUGAUGUCGCCGAAGGAGGGACUUGGGCCGAAGGGUUUAGUUUCAGUAAAGAUGUAAUUAAGGUUUAUUUUAUAUAAAUAUUAAAACAGAGUAUUCUUUAAAAGG
This 765-nucleotide long non-coding RNA is filed under the name Ananas comosus (pineapple). Its description in RNAcentral is "long non-coding RNA (ACOM_LNC044772)". The record is from RNAcentral. Lineage: Eukaryota; Viridiplantae; Streptophyta; Magnoliopsida; Poales; Bromeliaceae.